This 397-nucleotide ribosomal RNA is filed under the name uncultured bacterium. RNAcentral's name for it is "partial 16S ribosomal RNA". It matches the Rfam family "Bacterial small subunit ribosomal RNA", at positions 360 to 774 of the family's 1533-position model. The record is from RNAcentral.
AAUCUUGCGCAAUGGGCGAAAGCCUGACGCAGCCAUGCCGCGUGAAUGAUGAAGGUCUUAGGAUUGUAAAAUUCUUUCACCGGGGACGAUAAUGACGGUCCCCGGAGAAGAAGCCCCGGCUAACUUCGUUCCAGCAGCCGCGGUAAUACGAAGGGGGCUAGCGUUGCUCGGAAUUACUGGGCGUAAAGGGUGCGUAGGCGGAUCGUUAAGUCAGAGGUUAAAUCCAAGGGCUUAACCCUGGAACUGCCUUUGAUACUGGCGAUCUUGAGUAUGAGAGAGGUAUGUGGAACUCCGAGUGUAGAGGUGAAAUUCAUAGAUAUUCGGAAGAACACCAGUGGCGAAGGCGACAUACUGGCUCAUUACUGACGCUGAGGCGCGAAAGCGUGGGGAGCAAACA